This is a long non-coding RNA of Ctenocephalides felis (cat flea), 626 nucleotides long. RefSeq lists it as uncharacterized. Lineage: Eukaryota; Metazoa; Arthropoda; Insecta; Siphonaptera; Pulicidae. The record is from RefSeq and is a predicted model, not a curated record. The transcript has 3 exons.
CGGGCUAAAGAAAAUAUUCGAGAAUCUAAUAUGGCGGAAUAAUAUUUUAGUGUCAAAGUGUCAAAUGUUUGUUAAAAGUUUAUAACAAAUAUCAUGUCAAAGUGCGGUGUACAAUAAUGCGGAACAUCAACAAAUAUGCGAAAAUGGUGUAUUUCCUGCAGAAAAAGACGUAAUAUGUAAAAUGAUUAGUAAAAUAACUGGAGCCCGGGCUGAGCACUGAUGGUGAGAACUAGCUCAAUAACUGAGACAUUUAACAGUAUCAAUGCUAGGAAUUUUAAGGUUAUAAAUACAAGACACCCGUCUUACUAAAUCCCUUUCUGGAAGCUAUGUUAUUGAAAAAUUAUUCUUUUUAUAACACUUUUUUGUAUUGUUCUGGCAAAACUGAAGAUGGAAAACCGUCCCUGAAAGCAGAGGUUCUUAAGCACUGCAGAGACCAGAUAUGCAAAAAACAAAAUUUAUACCAUAUAACAAAUGUAUUGAGAAAAGAAGUCAGAAGGAUAAAUAUACAAAAAAAAUAUUGAGGCAGAAGUUACAAGAAAGUGUCAAAUGUGCUGACAAUUUUGCUUAUCUCCCAGCAACAUUAAAUAAGAGGGCUCGUAAUUUUAUAUUAAGGCAACUAAGAGAAC